This is a long non-coding RNA of Gallus gallus (chicken), 374 nucleotides long. The record is from Ensembl. NCBI's taxonomy places the organism in Eukaryota, Metazoa, Chordata, Aves, Galliformes, Phasianidae.
CAUGUGUGUCUUCUUCCGGUAACUGUCAACAGGAAAUAUAUUCCUUUUUAUAACUAUGAAUCUCUUCCGACUUCAUCCUUGCUUUAGCAUUUAGGAUAAUGUUUUGGACACACUCCUUCAACUUUUCAUCAUGAAAUCAGGAGCUUCAAAUCUGCAUCAUAUCAAAUCGGUUGGACAUAAGGGGCUUCUGAUGGAGGCACUGGCCAUGAUCAUCAUGCGAGAACAUGGACCCCUUCCACGGCAUUUAUGGAAGGGGACAGGGAGAAAAUCUGGAGCCGAAGCCACAAGAGAGCAGGGGACAGAAGCUCUGCAAGACUUUCCUUACGAUCAUGAAACAAGGGUGGCUGCAUGUAUCACCUGGCACUACAAUAGCA